CUCGUAGGUGGCCAACUAAGUCAGACGUGAAAUCCCUCGGCUUAACCGGGGAACUGCGUCUGAUACUGGAUGGCUUGAGUUUGGGAGAGGGACGCGGAAUUCCAGGUGUAGCGGUGAAAUGCGUAGAUAUCUGGAGGAACACCGGUGGCGAAGGCGGCGUCCUGGACCAACACUGACACUGAUGAGCGAAAGCCAGGGGAGCAAACG
RNAcentral lists this ribosomal RNA (207 nucleotides) under uncultured bacterium. RNAcentral's name for it is "partial 16S ribosomal RNA". It matches the Rfam family "Bacterial small subunit ribosomal RNA", at positions 568 to 774 of the family's 1533-position model. The record is from RNAcentral.